AAGAAAAAUGAGGUAAACAACACUGAAUCGAAAACAGAAAGGAGAUAUCGAACAACCCAAAUCACGUAACAAAAAACUACGAUGCGAUCCGUCCGAUGAUCAAACGUCAACUGAUCCUUGACUUGCCGAGUAAGUGGUUAAUAUGUGCCGAUAGGAAUUAAUUCAUCGUCUUCCGGACGUGAAUCCGGCCGGCCCCUGUGUAGCGGUAGUUGGUACAUAUUUGGGAAUACACCGACGGAGAAACGACUCAUGCCAGAAGUGACCUAUGAACGUCUAUGGUUAUUACGCAAUUGUAAUUUAAAUACGAUAUUAACAUUGUUCCUAAUUUUUUGAAUAUACAGUGGUACAUGGUAGUACAUAUUAUAUAUUGAAUACAUAAAAGUAUAGAGAUCCAUAAUAUAAUGCAAGGAAGGUGGUUAAUAAUUCUUCCAAAUUUUGGUGACUGAAACAUUUGAUGGAACGUUUUGAUUAAUGAUGGAAAAUCGUUUGAAAAUUUGAAAUCUCCUUGAACUUAAUAGCUGCACAUCCCACUCGGUGCCCGUGAAGUUUAUUGGAAGUUACCAUUUAACAGGAGGAAUUCUCGUCUCACGAAAUCGCGUGCAGUACGGUAUACAAAAUUACACUCGUGAGACUUUCAUUUAUGGGAAUAUUUGGCGUUAGUCAUCGACAAGUAUUCGAUAUAACGCUUAAGUUUGACCAACCGUCGCUGGAAAACAAAAUGGAUGAACCGUUUACAAAUAAGUAAAACAAAUUCGAUACCGCAUAUCAGUUGAAAGGACUGGAAAGCCUCCCUGAAAUACUUCUAAUCUGAAGCCGAAUGAGUGACAAAUGUUUUGGGACUUUGAAACUUUCCUUUGAAUAACAAGUGAACGAGGAAAUGCCAAUCUGAAAGCGCGUCCAUAAAACUGAUAUAAAAAUUAUAAUAUUUGUUGCGAGCUUGGUUCACGCUAUUGACUUUCGGUUAAGUCGGUCAAGCAUUGCACGAGGAUGCACGCACACAUAUCAGUUUCUGCUAAGAUAUGCAUCGUCUAUGCUUUCACUCUGACUUAUUCACUGUGUGUACCACAUAUGCAGAGUUCAUUCGCAACAAAAGAAACAAUAAUGUACGAUGGAAUGAACGAGAAGGAAUGACUAAUGACGGAUUGCUACAUCUCGAUGGAAAACUUUUCUCACUCUGUUAUCAGAGAAAUUGUUUCGUAUAGAUAAAAGCGGUUGAAAUUAAGAUCACCGUUUCAAUCGUAGUUCCGACACACGUACACGAGAUACUUGUCGAAUGUCCGAGAAGGUGAUUAAACUACUUAAAGCGAUACCAGUAAUCAAAGUUGUAGCAAAUACAUCCACAUUUUCCUGAUAAUGUGGGUUCUUAACAACGCCAAAUUACGGUGUACCAAAUUACGAUGUACGAGGAACAAUGGUUUCACUAGCAUUCCGACACGAUAUUCGAGAAUGUAAUUCAAUCUCGCAGCGAUCGUAACGCGUAUUUCGUUUUGCGCGUCAAACGAAUGUUCACGCACGCAUACGUUUAAUAAUAAUUUAAAAGAAUGAAGAGACCUAUUUCUCCUAAGGACGUUUACGUUUCCAACGAACAUGGUAUUCGCUGCAUUGUUUGGCUUGAAGUAGCUACGCGUGCACCGUCACGUAUCCUUUCAAUUUUGAACCUCCUUUAGAUUUGGGCACAGUCAAAUCGGAAUACGUUGUGUAUGUCACGUAGGUAGAAAUAAGCGACUGCAGAGAAAAGCAAUCUCUGCGUUAUUAAAUUGGAACAGGAAGUUAAAGGAGAAUUCAGAGAUUUGGAAAUCAGAAGAUUUGAAUAUUUAGAACUUGUGUGAUACACCGUCUACAAUUAAGACCAUAAAGAUUUAGUUUCAUUAGUUUGCAUAAAACUGAAUCUUUGUGGUUUAACGAAGACUGAAAAUUUAUGAUGAACUUGGAAUGGAAACUGUUGACUUGAUUACAAAGUAAUUUAUUUUCUGUUCUCGCUUGAAAAUAGUCUAGACAAUAUUUGUUCCUUCACUCGUUAUCGACUUGACAAUAAGAGAGGAAAACAGAAAUAUUAUUUGGUGGAGCUAACGUUUCUUUUGAAAUGCGUUGUACAUAUUACAUGGAGGGUGCAGAUCGUUGCAGAUACGCGCGCGCGCAUUAUUGUCAUGCCCGGAAGAGACUCAAAUUCCAUUAAAUAUAUCUGAAUCCUUUGACAAACUCAACUGUCGAAUUUUUAUAUACGUUGCCCUCAUUAUAGCUAUCCAGGUCUUGUUCGCUACGAUUGUUCCUGGUCAUUCUUAUUCCACUAUCUAAAGGGAAGUUGAACAACGACUG
Molecule: long non-coding RNA, 2316 nt
Filed under: Megachile rotundata (alfalfa leafcutting bee)
Lineage: Eukaryota; Metazoa; Arthropoda; Insecta; Hymenoptera; Megachilidae
Description: uncharacterized LOC105662555, transcript variant X1
Source: RNAcentral